ACUGCAGCAUCCCUAACUGCUUCCUCCCCCUCUUUCUCCAGUGACUUCGGCCUUAGUGCACAUUGCCAGUCCUAGUAUCUAAACUUAGUCUUUCAGGUCUCUGGGGUGAUAGAGCCGGUGACACCAAGCAAGCCUCAGCAUGCUGGGCAGCGCAGCUUUUCUGGGUAUUGUGCUGUCUGUCGUGUUGACUUUGGACACGGGACGCAGAUGGGGUUGGAGGACAGGACCAGUGAGAAGAGAAGGCCAUGUUUGGCUCACGGCAUCAAUAUUAUCAUCUGCAUUUGGGCAGCAACCGUGUGUGCACCUUCUACUGGGUUUCUGAUGUGGAAGUUUGGUGCUGUAAUGUUUGCUGAAUGAACAGAGUCAGGAAAGGACCCGAGCUGUUGGAAGACUGCAUGAUGAAGACCCAUAGUGGCUGGAAGGGAUAGUGGG
Long non-coding RNA from Peromyscus eremicus (cactus mouse), 432 nucleotides. RefSeq lists it as uncharacterized. Lineage: Eukaryota; Metazoa; Chordata; Mammalia; Rodentia; Cricetidae. The record is from RefSeq and is a predicted model, not a curated record. The transcript is spliced from 3 exons.